AUUUUCUAAAAACCCAACGGAAAGAUGCUGUGCCAAACCCCUCAAGACAGGUCUGAAAAUCACCCGGGAGAAUCACCCGGCUUGAGCUGCGCUCACCCGCUGUUCCUUGGCCUCACCUGCACCACAGUAGGGUGAAAGGGCCCCCGCUGGGAAGGAAGUGCCUGAAGAAGGCUCAGCCACCCCCCCCCCCCACCGGCAGACGGGGUGGCCUGAGAGGAAGGAGGGGGUUGUCUAGGGAAGUUUGGACGAUCCCUGUCCCGCUGUCAGGAUGUCUGUGGGGCAGCGAGCACCCCAAACUGGGCAGAGGUGCCGCUCUCCUGUCUGGGCCUGGCGCUCUGCUGCUCACCUGGCGCACAGGUCGCUGACUUCUCAGCCCACAGAAGGGCUUGGAGAAGAACCGCACGUGCCCCGAGUCACACAGUUACUUUCCAGAGACAGGUUCGAGCUGGCAGGGCUACCGUCCCACCAGCCAACAUCUGGCUUCCCAGAGACCUCGCAAUCAACCGGUGGGGGGAGAGCAUUGUCAAGCGGCGAGGGGACCCGGGACGGCCAGAGAGCCAGGAAGGGCACAGGCAGUGGGGAGAAGAGGGGAACUUACCAGUUCCUUCUGGAGAGUCUUUUUGAGUUCCAGCAUCCUCUGCUGCAUCUGCUUUAUGGUCUGAGACAAACCCCGCCCCCCGCAAAAAGCCAUCUGUUACAUGCACAUUCCACCAUCUUUAAGGUGCCAAGGACAACAGAACAGCCAGCCACCCCUUGGGACCCUAUACACCUGUUAUAAGACACUGUCCCGUCUCCUGAGGGGCUCGUGUUGUCACACCUGUGUGCCUCCCGCCCGGGGCCCUCUUCUCUCCUUCUCGCUGCUCUGCACGCACAUGCUCUCCAGGCCCCACAAGGGCCACUGAAGCCGUCACAUACCCUCUGUGGAGCACUCGUGCCCCAGGGCUGCCCCGGCCUCCCCACGGGCUCAGCCCUCAGGACCGCUUCAGGUGCCUGCGUCUGGAAACCCCUCUGUACGGUAGACUUGUCCUUCCGAAUGAGAUUUACGUGCUAUGAUCCCUCACCACUGCUCCGGAAAUACCAUUUUCAAUGCUUAUUUGGAACAGUGUAAACGGUCAUGGUUUUUCUGUACUUCUCUAUUUUAUUUUUAGUUUAAUUAGUAUUGAGCUUUAAGUGUAAUUUAUUACACACUCCGUUAAUCACUAAAAACGCUAACCUCUGUUUUCCCAAUGAGAAAAUUUACUGUAUAAUCAGCAAUACAGGAAAAAACAUUAAACAUUUCUCCAAAGUCUCACAAACUUAGUCUUUCCCGUGACCUUCAGGUCUGAGUCACUGAUCUUGCACCGAGUAGCUGGAAUUGUGAAUAGUGUAUGUUUUUCAUUUAUCACAGUUUUCAUAGCUUUUCACGGUUUCCCUAACUUUUUUUUUUAAGUAGGCUCUAUGCCCAACGUGGGGCUUGAACUCAUGACCCUGAGAGCAAGAGUUGUGUGCACCACCUACUGAGCCAACCAGGUGCCCCCUUAAUUUUAACUUCUAAUGUGACAGUAACUCGAGGGGAUGGCCCAUGCCUUAGAGCGGCGCUGAGCCUCCAUUUUUGAACACGGCAGUAAUAGCAGCUUCCCUUUCUCCAACGUGUGUCCAGUCUCUCCGCAGGACUGAGAUGGCUCUGCCACAGACCCAGCUCCCGUCAAGCACAUUAAAUGGCCUCCAACACAUCCCAUUUUAUAAAUGAUAAUGUGUUGUUUCAAUCUGUAUUCUCUUGGCUGACCACGAGGCUGGCAUUCACCCAAAAGUACAUUUGCUAUUUUAUGUAUUUUAAAUUUUCCCUGAUUUUCUAGGAUUUUGGUUCACUGAUUAACUCAUCUAACAAGUACUGAUUAAAUCCCUACUACAGGCAGACGCUGUCCUAGAGGCUGGGGAAAAGCAAGAAGCAAAAGAAGAAAAAUGCUCAGGGGCACGUGGGUGGUUCAGUUGGUUAAGCAUCCAACUCUUAAUCUCUGCUCAGGUCAUGAUCUCACGGUUGUGAGAUCGAGUCCCACGUCGGACUCCGCAAUGAGCACAGAGCCCGCUUGGAUUCUCUCUCCCCCUCUCUCUCUACCCCUCUCCCGUGUGCUUGUUCUCUUUGUCUCUUGCUUUCUCUCAAAAUAAAUAAACAUUAAGUUUAAUUUUUUUAAAUGUUUACUUCUAUUUGAGAGAGACAGAGCAUGAGCGGGGGAGGGGCAGAGAGAGGUGGAAACAGAAUCCAAGGGGGCUCCAGGCUCUGAGCUGUCAGCACAGAGCCUGACAUGAGGCCCAAACUCAUGAGUCGUGAAAUUGUGACCUGAGCCAAAGUCGGAUGCUCAACCGACUGAGCCACCCAGGCACCCCAACAAAUAAACAUUGAAAAAAAAAAAGAAGAAAGAAAAAAAUGAAAAAUACCUGCUCUCAGGAGGAGAAAAUGUCAGUGACCAUACAUUACAUAAGAAGGUAUUAAGAGGCCUGGUAAGGGGACAGGACGUUCUGGUGGUGAUGGUGAGGGCUGCCAAGCAUAGUGGGGAGGGGGGGUGGGGAGGUGGAGGGGGGCCCUCCUUAACAAAAUGACAUCACAAAGGAAGUGAGGGGAUUAUAGGAAGGAUAUUCCAGACAGAAGGCUCAGCAAGUACAAAGGUCCUGCGGCGGGAGGGUGCUUGACAGUCACAGAAAGGCAAGGCCAAUGUGGCUAAGAGGGGGUGCAGUACAAAGGGUACUAAGGGGCCAAACCACACAGGGCUUUGUGGGCCACUGCAAGGAUGUGGCUUAUAUUUACAGAGACAGGGGAAGUCAUCAGAGGGCUGGUACAGAGGUGGUGACAGGGAAACCAUUAGAAGCCCAACACCAGCCUACAGGGAAGAAUGGUAACCCCACCUAUGGUGGCAGCAGUGGUGGGGAUGAGGUGCAGCCCAUUUGGGGUAUAGUUUGAAGGGAGAGCCAGAAGGAUUUGUUAAUGGUUUGGAUGUUGCUUGUGUAAGAAACAAGGGCGUUGAGAAUGAUACUAAGAUUUUUACUUUUUACGUUUACUGAGACAAGAGCAGCCCCCAUUAGGCAGCAUGGUGAAUGUGAAGUUGGGUUUUGGACAGUUUACGCAGAUGCCUUGUAGACACUGCCACGGAGACAGACACAAUCUAAAGCUCCAGGGAGCCGUCUGGCCUUGAGAUAAGGAUGUGGGCGCCCAAAGUGGGCAGUAGAGGCAGGACUCUGAGGGAGUGAAUGCCACUUAGAGAGGAGGUCUGAGGGCUGGGUCCUGGGCACAGGGAGUUUGUGCGCUUUUCUGUAGUUUACACUUCACAGUAAGAUUAAAUGCUCAUGUGUAAGUGAGAAUGAGCAUUUUUUCCUUUUGUUAUAGAUCUAAAAAAAUACACACCCACAAUCACACUUUGGAGGCCAGAGCAGUGACCAGCCAGCACCCUUAACUUCCCAGCGCACUUGGAAACCAGGAUCAAAGGAGACCCUGCACUUGCAGUAAAACCGCUAGAAGACAGGCAUCACUGGGUCAUUUCACAGCCAUAGAAAGGAAGUGAGAGGUAAGGUGAUGGGUCCAAUAUGACCCAGCUGGUGACAGCAGCACCUGUGACAUCUGGCCUCACUACUGCCUGAGCGCAAAUACUCUGGACAUUAUCUCAAGCGUGGGGGAGGUGUGAAAGGAAGACUGCCCAGGUGGAAGUCCAGGAAGAAGCCCUUCUGGUGAAGAGCUGCCCUAGGUCCACAGCCCCCACCUCACCAUUUGGGAUUCCCUCUGCAGCCGGAAGCUGGUACGUGGGGUCCUGCGUGGCCCUCGAGGCCGCCUACAGGAUGGACAAGGCAAUGGUCAAGCUAAGCCACAGGUCCAUGGGGAAAGGCGCCCAGACUGGGUCCAAAGGUUCGGGCUGAUGUGCCGGAACAGGCGGCUAGCUGGCCAGGAACCAAACCUGGGCUGUAGAGAUCCUGUCCAGCGCCUUCCAGGGGGACAGGCAGCUUUCCGUGCAGCGAGCGUGCUUGGAAGGAAAGGGCUCUACUGAACACGGACACGUGGCGCCACAUCCGACGGGCUCCUCAAUACCCACGAGCUCCUAGUCAGGUACGCACCCCUACUUUAAAGAAAGGGAGGUGACCUGCCCAACAUCCCGCAGCUAGUGAGCGCCAGCUCUCCUCCCCUCUUCUCACCGCCUCCUACUGGCAAACUACGGCAGGCAGCCCCGUCCUGCUGCCGUCACACUGGCCCGCGGCUCAGAUGGGGACUUACGUGAGGCUGGGGAACUGAGCGUGUCAACCCCUGCUCCGGGACAGCCAGUCUCAGCACGUCGAACCCCGCGGCAGCCUCGGACUCCUCCACCCUAAGGCUCUGCAGGGCUUCCAGCUCGCUCUGAAGCUGGUGCAUUUGCAACAGGGCAGAGUCGUGACCUAGGCCGGGCAGAGGGGAGCACCAGUGACUCCUCCUGGCCACCUCAGGGCAGGGGUACUGGGUGGGAGCAGGUGAGAGGGCUCGCCAGGGGUGGACUCCUCACCUUUCUUCAGUUGGAAAAUUUCCUGCUCUUUCUGGAGAAUCACUUCAGCUUUUUCCUGCAGACUCUGUUCCUUCUCAUCUACUACAGCUGUGAGGUUAGCAGCCUGGACAGAAAAAGCCAACAUAAGAGAAGGCCGGCAGCAGUAACCGAAUCUCCCCCAAAAGAAAUCUCCACUUUUCCGCUACCCAGGGUCCCCCAGGAAUCCCUCCCUGAAGUCUAAAGCCUUGAACAUACCCUAGGCUACCCUCUACUCCUAUGGACAGAGCACAAUUCUGGGGCCAGGGCCCUGCACAGGCUGCCCGCCCCCCACCCCCCAGCCUACCACUAGCGGGCCUACCAUAGAUGUGGUUGUUCUGCCCAGCCUUCCCCAAGCUGUCAUAACCAUGACUUCCGUGUCCUGAGUACCUGUGACAUGCCUAGCAUUUGACACACAUGACCUCAUUAUGAUCUGAAAGGUGUAAUUAUCCUAAAGUCUUUGCAGAUGCAACUGAGACUGGAAUUUAUGUUAAGGACUCACCGAAGGCCUAGAGUCCAUUCCCUACAAGGUCUGGGGCCCGAUGCUGAGUCUGUCUUGAAAGGAAGCUUUGCCCACCCUUCUCGCUGACGGCUCAGCUGUACUGCGUUCUCCGGGGCCUGUGGGCAGCGAUGCCCCUCACAGAGUCAGAGCCCAGGAGGCACCUGGAUGCGGGCUUUUCCCCAGAGACCUCAGGGUCAUCAAUCACACAGUUCCUGGCAUUCCUGACACCUGUGUCCAGCCCCUGGAGGGGGACACACGGGGAGGCAGGCUGGUCCUGCCCGAGGCUGGAACACACCACCCUUUGGCCCGUGCCUCAGGGUCAAAUGGGGCCUACCUGUUGCUGGAACUCUUCCCUCUGCUUCCGCACCUCCUCCAGGGCUUGAGCCAUUGCGACACUCACAAUUUCUCUUUGGCUCCACUCUUCCUACAAUCCAGAAAAUGGGUGGGACACUGAGCCCCCAAACGCCUCUCACGGGUGUUUCACUGCACGUUAUGUGCCACCCACUGGGGGAAUGCCAUCCUCCAUCCUACAGAUUUUCUUCCUGCUGCCCGAGGGUCCUGGACUGCCCUCUCGCUGCGGUGCCGUCUGUAUGCCUCUGAGAGCUGUCCUGGUGUACAACCCACCGACCUCUCCGCACAAGGGCAAACCGCCGAGGCUCGGGGAUCCCAUGGGCACACUAGCCAGUCCUCGGCCCAUGGUUAGGGGACCCAGAACUCCAAGAGAAGAGCUGGUCUGAUGAAAUCAACACAGAAUAGCAAGGAAGAUUCUCAGGCCAUGUGAAUGGACUAGUGGACCCGAACAACCCAAUUAUGGGAAAAAUAAUCAGCAAUUACUGAAUUAAAUAGGGCAGGGCAAAAUGCCACAGACUCAUCAAAAUUAUCCAUCUUAUAAGAGAAAAAUGCUCUGGUCCCACAGCUAGUAAGUGGCAUUGCCAGGUCUGAAGCCAGCAUCUGAGCUUAGAGCCAAGCCUCUGGAUGUUAGACUGUACCACCCAGAAAAUUUUCUACAUGGAGCCGGGCUGCCUCCCUGGCCUGCCCCACAGCACAGGAACCACCUCCUGACAGACAGACACAUCGGUCCUCUUCCCGGAGACGAAUGCCGUGCUCACAGAUCAACCCCUAGACUUCUCAGGUGCCUACAUUCUGGUCAGGGACAUCUGCGGUUUGUGUCUACCCCAGAUCACACCGUUUUGGGGGAUAAGAGCCUCAUCACUGCUAUUCCCCACUUCCACCCUGCAGUUCUGGAGGGCUGCCCAUGUUGUGGCUACAAGGAGAAGCAUGGGACUCAGGCCUGGCCAACUGAAGUACUGCAGCCCCCUGGCCAAACUGAUUUGUUCAAGGGGUGGCUCUGUCACCUAAGAUGGACCAAUCAGAAUCCUUUUUUACAUCAGAAGCCUUUUUGAUAAGCCAAGGAGAAGCCCUCUUUCCUAAGCUGGCAUGUCACCAGCUUGGAGCUGCUGCUGUGAUGACCACCCGAUUUGAAGGCCGCCACCUGUAUCGUGGGGAAAAGCAAGGCCAAGCGUCUGGGUAACUGACAGGGCAAGAAACAGCAUGAUGCAGGAAGGAAAGAGACCUGAGGCGCCCCCCACCCCCAAGUUCCAGUCGGACAAGUCUUUCUGGUUGUGGGAGCUACUCAACUCCCCUAUGACACCUUUCAAUUUGUGUCGGUACAAGUGAGUUGAUGGAAGGAGACGCCAGCCUCCUGACCAGGGGAAUUCUGGCUCCUACUGUGGAGUUGUCAGAAUUGACCUUUCUUUGAGUCCAUCUCUAGUAGAGAUGAGGAAACCUAGCGUCUGAAUUCAAAAGGCAGGAGCCCGCGCUGCGCCAGACAAUACCCCUCAUCGGGGGAGGCAGUGUUGAUACAGGAGAAGCAGCUAUGGAAACAUGGCCCUGUGAGUCCAAGCGGCAGGUGGCAGAAGGCUUUUCCGGGGAGGUUUAGAAGAGCUCGGACUGCUGGUGUCUAAGAGGACGGCCAGCAGACAGAGCGCGAGGCAGGAAAGCAGGUCAGGGCAGGAACCAGAGACUCAAAGCACCUCCAUGCCAGGAACUGCAUGGGAUACUUUUUAUCCACGGUCACGCUCGAGCCUUGGGGCAAUCCUCUCGAGGUCAAGGGUUAUUAUCUUCAGUUUUGAAAAAAGGGAAACUAGACUCCCUCAAGAGUCAGCCGGUGAGGGGCUAGGCUGGCACACAGGACGGGGUCUAUGCGGCUCUGAAGUCUGCUACCGCCAGAGCCGCAUGCAACCCAGGACUGUGGGAUUCGAGGUUGCCCGGCACAGUCCGGGUUGGCCACAGGAGCCACCAGGCUACCCACGUGUGGCAGCUCCCUGCACCUGGGAGUGUGUUCCCUGACAGCAGUCUAAAUAGGUAUGCACCUAAAAAUAGUGCUUCAAAACACUUGAGGCAAAGACUGACAACCGGCAGGAUUAAAGAGAGAGACAAAUCUGUGAUCACAGGUGAAGAUUUAACACAUCACUCUUACUAACUGAUGGAACAAGGAGACAAAAAAGAAACAUCAGAAAACAUAAAAGAUAUGGACAACACUAUCACCCAACUUGAUCUAAUUAGCAUUUACAGAAUGCUUUCCCCUCACAGCAGCAGCGCACUGAAACAUUUACCAAAAUAGACUCUGUAUGACAGGCUGGGCCAUAAAACAAACCUCAGUAAACAUCAAAGGGCUGAAAUCAUUUAGUGUAUGAUCUGAUCAUAAUAGUAUUAAACUAGAAAUCCAAGAUCGAGAACCUUCCGCAAACAUUUGAAAAUUAACCACACUUCUAAACAGCCUGUGUGCGCCAGUUUUUAUUCCCGCCUAUCGGCCCCACUGCCCCUUUCAUCCUCUGCUUUGCGACGAUGCUACAUCUGGUCUGAGGCUCUGCAAAUGACAUUUCUGCUCGUCCAGCUGGUUCCAUGUGAGCCUCUGCCAACAGGAGGAGCUCGAGGCAGACUGGAAAGCAGGAGAACACAGCAAAAGCCUUGCUCCUUCCUGUCCGCUUCUGCGAGCAGUCUGCACUGCCCUGGCGGUGGCAAGAAGGCAAUUUCUUCCCGCAGCCACAUCUGCAUCCGCUCUGCAGGUUCCCCAGCCCCGGGGCUGAUUUCACUGGCUGCCCUGUCCCCCAGCACACCAGCGCCCGCUCAACAGCGUCCCCUGCU
Long non-coding RNA from Acinonyx jubatus (cheetah), 8160 nucleotides. RefSeq lists it as uncharacterized. The transcript is spliced from 4 exons. The record is from RefSeq and is a predicted model, not a curated record. Lineage: Eukaryota; Metazoa; Chordata; Mammalia; Carnivora; Felidae.